RNAcentral lists this ribosomal RNA (556 nucleotides) under uncultured bacterium GR-296.II.7. RNAcentral describes it as "bacterial SSU rRNA". It matches the Rfam family "Bacterial small subunit ribosomal RNA", at positions 974 to 1533 of the family's 1533-position model. The record is from RNAcentral.
CCUGGUUACAUGCAGGACCGGGCAUGAAAGUGUCCUUCUCUUCGGAGCCUGUGCACAGGUGCUGCAUGGCUGUCGUCAGCUCGUGUCGUGAGAUGUUGGGUUAAGUCCCGCAACGAGCGCAACCCUCGCCCUUUGUUGCUACCGGGUUAGGCCGGGCACUCUAAGGGGACUGCCCCGGUGAACGGGGAGGAAGGUGGGGAUGACGUCAAGUCCUCAUGGCCUUUAUGUCCAGGGCUACACACGUGCUACAAUGGUCAGGACAAUGGGUCGCUCCCUCGUAAGAGGUUGCCAAUCUCAAAAACCUGGCCUUAGUUCGGAUGGUUGGCUGCAACUCGCCGGCCUGAAGCUGGAAUCGCUAGUAAUCGGGGAUCAGCACGCUCCGGUGAAUACGUUCCCGGGCCUUGUACACACCGCCCGUCACACCACGAAAGCCGCGUGUACCAGAAGUCGCUCGACUAACCCUUCGGGGAGGUAGGCGCCUAAGGUAUGCGUGGUAAUUGGGGUGAAGUCGUAACAAGGUAGCCGUAGGGGAACCUGCGGCUGGAUCACCUCCUUU